RNAcentral lists this transfer RNA (72 nucleotides) under Camelus bactrianus (Bactrian camel). It matches the Rfam family "tRNA". From Rfam's summary of the family: Transfer RNA (tRNA) molecules are approximately 80 nucleotides in length. Lineage: Eukaryota; Metazoa; Chordata; Mammalia; Artiodactyla; Camelidae. RNAcentral also lists the same sequence under 2 other names. The record is from Rfam by way of RNAcentral.
AUAGGGAUAGCUCUGUGGUAGAGCACAUGCUUAGCAUGCAUCAGGUCCUGGGUUCAAUCCCCAGUACCUCCA